AACGUAGGUUCCGAGCGUUAUCCGGAUUUACUGGGCGUAAAGCGCGUUCAGGCGGUUCGGCAAGUCGGGCAUGAAAUCUCUCGGCUCAACCGGGAGAGGUUGUCCGAUACUGUUGGACUUGAGGGCAGUAGAGGGUGGUGGAAUUCCGGGUGUAGUGGUGAAAUGCGUAGAUAUCGGGAGGAACACCAGUGGCGAAGGCGGCUUUCUGGUCUGUUCUUGACGCUGAGGCGCGAAAGCUAGGGUAGCAAACGGG
RNAcentral lists this ribosomal RNA (253 nucleotides) under uncultured bacterium. Its description in RNAcentral is "partial 16S ribosomal RNA". It matches the Rfam family "Bacterial small subunit ribosomal RNA", at positions 524 to 776 of the family's 1533-position model. The record is from RNAcentral.